Molecule: transfer RNA, 65 nt
Filed under: Parastacus brasiliensis
Lineage: Eukaryota; Metazoa; Arthropoda; Malacostraca; Decapoda; Parastacidae
Description: tRNA-Asp
Source: RNAcentral
CAAAAAUUAGUUAAUAAUAUAACGUAAGUUUGUCAGGCUUAAAUAGUCUUUUUAGACAUUUUUGA